GCAGUCGAACGGCAGCACAGUAAGAGCUUGCUCUUAUGGGUGGCGAGUGGCGGACGGGUGAGGAAUACAUCGGAAUCUACCUUUUCGUGGGGGAUAACGUAGGGAAACUUACGCUAAUACCGCAUACGACCUUCGGGUGAAAGCAGGGGACCUUCGGGCCUUGCGCGGAUAGAUGAGCCGAUGUCGGAUUAGCUAGUUGGCGGGGUAAAGGCCCACCAAGGCGACGAUCCGUAGCUGGUCUGAGAGGAUGAUCAGCCACACUGGAACUGAGACACGGUCCAGACUCCUACGGGAGGCAGCAGUGGGGAAUAUUGGACAAUGGGCGCAAGCCUGAUCCAGCCAUACCGCGUGGGUGAAGAAGGCCUUCGGGUUGUAAAGCCCUUUUGUUGGGAAAGAAAAGCAAUCGAUUAAUACUCGGUUGUUCUGACGGUACCCAAAGAAUAAGCACCGGCUAACUUCGUGCCAGCAGCCGCGGUAAUACGAAGGGUGCAAGCGUUACUCGGAAUUACUGGGCGUAAAGCGUGCGUAGGUGGUUGUUUAAGUCUGUUGUGAAAGCCCUGGGCUCAACCUGGGAAUUGCAGUGGAUACUGGGCGACUAGAGUGUGGUAGAGGGGUAGUGGAAAUUUCCGGUGUAGCAGUGAAAUGCGUAGAGAUCGGGAGGAACAUC
This 667-nucleotide ribosomal RNA is filed under the name bacterium 02-L049660-122-017-B01. RNAcentral describes it as "bacterial SSU rRNA". It matches the Rfam family "Bacterial small subunit ribosomal RNA", at positions 57 to 710 of the family's 1533-position model. The record is from RNAcentral.